GAUCCCGUAGCUCAACGGAUAGAGCAACUGCCUUCUAAGCAGUAGGUUGCAGGUUCAAGUCCUGCCGGGAUCGCCA
This 76-nucleotide transfer RNA is filed under the name Alphaproteobacteria bacterium. RNAcentral's name for it is "tRNA-Arg". It matches the Rfam family "tRNA". Rfam says of the family: Transfer RNA (tRNA) molecules are approximately 80 nucleotides in length. Their secondary structure includes four short double-helical elements and three loops (D, anti-codon, and T loops). Lineage: Bacteria; Pseudomonadati; Pseudomonadota; Alphaproteobacteria. The record is from RNAcentral.